Molecule: ribosomal RNA, 456 nt
Filed under: Triticum aestivum (bread wheat)
Lineage: Eukaryota; Viridiplantae; Streptophyta; Magnoliopsida; Poales; Poaceae
Description: partial small subunit ribosomal RNA
Source: RNAcentral
GUGAUCCCAGAGUCGCGUGCGAUUUCGAGGUACGUGCUCCGAAAAGGCGCAUCCGAUCUUCUAAGGGAGGGCAGCCUUGCCGAGUUGGCGACGGUGGACGCGUGGCUCGACGCCGAGUCCCACAACUUCGACAGGGCCAUGUCGGCGAUCACCUUCCAGUGCUUCGUCGUGCCCAUGUUCAUGGGCGAGACGACUGACCACAAAAUCGUUGAGGAGAACCUGGAGAAGCUUAAGGUGGCCCUCGGAGUCUACGAGGAGCGUCUGUCCAGGUCCCGGUACCUGGCCGGAGAUUUCAUCAGCCUGGCGGACCUCAGCCAUUGCCCCAUGGCUCACUACCUGCUGGCCAGCCCCUGCGCGUCCGUCCUCGAUGCGUAUCCGCGUAUGAAGGCCUGGGUUGAUGGGAUGAUGGAUCGGCCGAGUGUGGAGAAGGUCAUGGAGCUUAUGGAUGCGUCGUGA